UUUCCGUAGGUGAACCUGCGGAAGGAUCAUUAUUGUAUCACCCACGUGCGAGGUCUGUCGCUGACCCGACAGGUCGUUCACGCCCGAUUGCCCUCACACACCUCCAUCUCAUCCCUAUGUGCACCCCCGCGCGGGCCCCCCUUUUCCUUGUUUGGCUGGCGGCUUACUUUUUCACACAAACUUUUUAUGCAGUGUAGAAUGUCUUUUUUGUUUUUCUGAUCACCCAAUCAAUACACUUUUCACCAACGGACCUCUUGCCUCUCGCAUCAUUGAAAAACC
Molecule: unclassified non-coding RNA, 279 nt
Filed under: plant metagenome
Description: partial contains small subunit ribosomal RNA, internal transcribed spacer 1, and 5.8S ribosomal RNA
Source: RNAcentral